UUCUCUUUCAUAUUCCAUUAGUUAUUAGUGGUUUCUCUUAUCUGAUGGGUUCCUUUUUGCAGUGGAACAUGCUCAGUGAUUGUUGUAACUUAUGAAAAACAUCAAAGCGAUAUUCCGAGAGGAAGAGGAAGAAGAAAAAAACUAUCAUGCUUUAAAAACUACUCUAGAAAGAGUAGUCUUGAUCGUGGCCUUGUAAAAAUGCAAGACCAACACUGUCUUUACACCAGCAAGAUCAAGAUCAACAUCAAAUUAGAAUUAUUAAGAAAAACGUAAACAUAGGAUUAAAUGACUAAGAAUUAACACACAAGACCAAGAAUAAGACCAUAUCAAUAAGACGAAGACCAAGACCGAAUAAGCAAGACC
Long non-coding RNA from Agrilus planipennis (emerald ash borer), 363 nucleotides. RefSeq lists it as uncharacterized. The record is from RefSeq and is a predicted model, not a curated record. The transcript has 3 exons. NCBI's taxonomy places the organism in Eukaryota, Metazoa, Arthropoda, Insecta, Coleoptera, Buprestidae.